Molecule: transfer RNA, 69 nt
Filed under: Murina cyclotis (Round-eared tube-nosed bat)
Lineage: Eukaryota; Metazoa; Chordata; Mammalia; Chiroptera; Vespertilionidae
Description: tRNA-Thr
Source: RNAcentral
GUCUGUGUAAUAUAUACAUUAUACUGGUCUUGUAAACCAGAAAAGGAGAACCAAUUUCCCCCAUAGACU